GAGGUAUUGAAUAAGAUUUUAAAUGAGUGCUAAGAGAAUGAUUAAACAAUUAAAAGCUUUCUUUAAUUGAAUAAUUGAAUUUAAUUUUUUAGUGCAAAAGCAAAAAUAAAAAUUAGGGACAAGAAGACCCUAUGAAUUUUUAUUAAAUUUUAUAAAACUUUAUAUAAAAUUUAAUUUAAUUGGGGUGAUGGAAAAAGAAUAAAUAUCUUUUUUUUUAAAAAAAAUUGGUUCCGUUUUUAGCGAUUAAAUGAAAAAAAUACUCUAGGGAAAACAGCGUAAAAA
Molecule: ribosomal RNA, 282 nt
Filed under: Ixodes ricinus (castor bean tick)
Lineage: Eukaryota; Metazoa; Arthropoda; Arachnida; Ixodida; Ixodidae
Description: partial 16S ribosomal RNA
Source: RNAcentral